RNAcentral lists this long non-coding RNA (261 nucleotides) under Mytilus galloprovincialis (Mediterranean mussel). Lineage: Eukaryota; Metazoa; Mollusca; Bivalvia; Mytilida; Mytilidae. The record is from RNAcentral.
AUUUAUGGCAAGCCGUUCUCGUCAAAACUAUGUUUAAACCCUUUUUUCGAAAAAAAAUACACACUGAGAUUUAAAAACCUAAAAUAACACACUGAGAAAUCGAAAUUACACACUGAGAUUUAAAAAAAUAAAAAACACACACUGAGAAUUCAAAAUUACACACUGAGAUUUUAAAAAGACACACUGAGAUGAAAUAAAUUGAAAAACACACACUGAGAAUUGUUAAUUACACACUGAGAUUUCAAAAAUACACACUGAGAA